Molecule: long non-coding RNA, 736 nt
Organism: Rhododendron vialii
Lineage: Eukaryota; Viridiplantae; Streptophyta; Magnoliopsida; Ericales; Ericaceae
Exons: 2
Source: RefSeq, a predicted model, not a curated record
UUCUUUAAGUAUAUUUUUUUUCCCAAAGUGCUGAUUUUCUAUAAUCUGUAAGAUGUAUAACCAGAAGUCGAGAAACAGAAAGAAUACAAAUGUGUCUGAAGCUAAGUCACUUUAUGCACGUGUGUGAUCGGGAGCGCAAGUGCGAGCAUGAACGCGUCUUUCAAAAGCACCUCAAACUACAACGAGAAUUGGGAACGCGAGCUCAGAGUAGGACUGAGAGUGAGCGGAGGGUACUAGUGGAGGAUUAUGUGACUAAGGUCCGAAGUGUAUGUGGGCUACGUGCAUCAACGGUUCUCGACACAAUAGUGUCCAGAGUUGUGUUCUAGAGUUUGUGUUCCUAACAUGGACACAAAUGCGUCUGAAGCUAAGUCACGCUAUGCACGUGUGUGAUUGGGAACGCAAGUGCGAGCAUGAAUGCAUCUUUCAAAAGCACCCCAAACUACAACGAGAAUUGAGAACGCAAGUGCAGAGUUGGAUUGAGAGUGAGCGGAGGGUACUAGUGGAGGAUUAUGUGACUAAGGUCUAAAGUGUAUAUGGGCUACGUGCAUCGACGGUUCUUGACACAGUUGUGUCCGGAGUUGAGUUCUAGAGUUGUGUUCCUAACAUUGCUCAAUGCGUGAGUAAAGUGAUGGUUGCUGCAACACUUGUGCAUUUUUGGUUAGGGACACUGCUUCUGUGUUUGACUUAUUGGCCAAAAUCACACCAUAUGAUUCUUUACUGCAUCUCUCUCUGAAAA